CAGUAACGGCGAGUGAAGCGGCAACAGCUCAAAUUUGAAAUCUGGCCCCCAGGGCCCGAGUUGUAAUUUGCAGAGGAUGCUUUGGGCGAGGUGCCUUCCGAGUUCCCUGGAACGGGACGCCAUAGAGGGUGAGAGCCCCGUCUGGUCGGACACCGAGCCUGUGUAAAGCUCCUUCGACGAGUCGAGUAGUUUGGGAAUGCUGCUCAAAAUGGGAGGUAUAUGUCUUCUAAAGCUAAAUAUUGGCCAGAGACCGAUAGCGCACAAGUAGAGUGAUCGAAAGAUGAAAAGCACUUUGAAAAGAGGGUUAAAAAGUACGUGAAAUUGUUGAAAGGGAAGCGCCUAUGACCAGACUUGGGCCCGGUGAAUCAUCCAGCGUUCUCGCUGGUGCACUUUGCCGGGCACAGGCCAGCAUCAGUUUGGCGCGGGGGACAAAGGCUUCGGGAAUGUAGCUCCCUCGGGAGUGUUAUAGCCCGCUGCGCAAUGCCCUGCGCCGGACUGAGGUACGCGCAUCGCAAGGAUGCUGGCGUAAUGGUCAUCAGCGACCCGUCUUGAAACACGGACCAAGGAGUCGUCUUCGUAUGCGAGUGUUCGGGUGUCAAACCCCUACGCGUAAUGAAAGUGAACGCAGGUGAGAGCUUCGGCGCAUCAUCGACCGAUCCUGAUGUUCUCGGAUGGAUUUGAGUAAGAGCAUACGGGGCCGGACCCGAAAGAAGGUGAACUAUGCCUGUAUAGGGUGAAGCCAGAGGAAACUCUGGUGGAGGCUCGCAGCGGUUCUGACGUGCGAAUCGAUCGUCAAAUAUGGGCAUGGGGGCGAAAGACUAAUCGAACCUUCUAGUAGCUGGUUUC
This 846-nucleotide ribosomal RNA is filed under the name Cordyceps ninchukispora. Its description in RNAcentral is "LSU rRNA". It matches the Rfam family "Eukaryotic large subunit ribosomal RNA", at positions 81 to 958 of the family's 3401-position model. The record is from RNAcentral. Lineage: Eukaryota; Fungi; Ascomycota; Sordariomycetes; Hypocreales; Cordycipitaceae.